GAUGAAGAACGUAGCGAAAUGCGAUACGUAAUGUGAAUUGCAGAAUUCAGUGAAUCAUCGAAUCUUUGAACGCAUAUUGCGCUCUCUGGUAUUCCGGAGAGCAUGCUUGUUUGAGUAUCAGUAAACACCUCAACUUCCAUAUCUUUUUUGAAAUGGGAGUUGGACUUGAGUGAUCCCAACGCUUUUCCUCACCGAAAAGUGGCGGGUUACUUGAAAUGCAGGUGCAGCUGGACUUUUCUCUGAGCUAUAAGCAUAUCUAUUUAGUCUGCCUAAAAAACAGAUUAUUACCUUUGCUGAAGCUAACAUAAAGGAGAUUAGUUCUUGUGCUGACUGAUGCAGGAUUCACAAAGACAGGCUUCGGCCGACUUUGUAAACUCGAUCUCAAAUCAAGUAAGACUACCCGCUGAACUUAAGCAUAUCAAUAAGCGGAGGA
This 433-nucleotide unclassified non-coding RNA is filed under the name soil metagenome. RNAcentral's name for it is "partial contains 5.8S ribosomal RNA, internal transcribed spacer 2, and large subunit ribosomal RNA". The stretch from base 1 to 120 matches the Rfam family "5.8S ribosomal RNA", at positions 35 to 154 of the family's 154-position model. The record is from RNAcentral.